Molecule: long non-coding RNA, 521 nt
Filed under: Arabidopsis thaliana (thale cress)
Lineage: Eukaryota; Viridiplantae; Streptophyta; Magnoliopsida; Brassicales; Brassicaceae
Description: long non-coding RNA (ATHA_LNC000672)
Source: RNAcentral
CUCAAACUUUUCAUGUCAACUACGGAGAGAACGCUGACCAAAGAUGGAUGCCGUCUUCCAUUGCACAUCCUCAAACUUUACCUGUUAACUACGGAGGAAAUACUAACCAAAGACCGAUACCAUCUUCCAUUGCACAUCCUCAAACUUUACCUGUCAACUACAGGGGGAAUACUGACCAUAGAUCGACGCCAUAUUCCAUUACACAUCUCCAAACAUUACUUAACUACGGAGGGAACGCCGAUCAAAGACCAAUGCCAUCUUCCAUUACAAAUCUCCAAACUUUACCUGCCACGUACGGAGGGUACGCCCACCAAAGACCAAUGUCAUCUUCCAUUACACAUCCCCGAACUUCACCUGUCAACUACGGAGGGACCCCUGACCAAAGACCAAUGCCAUCUUCCAUUACACAUCCCCAAACUUUACCUGUCAGCUACGGAGGGACCACAGACCAAAUACUGAAUCCUGGUGGUGCAAUGGGACAGUUCUCAUCACGAGAGUUCAUGAAUUUGACUCCUGCUAAC